UGGGGAAUAUUGGACAAUGGGCGCAAGCCUGAUCCAGCCAUGCCGCGUGUGUGAAGAAGGCCUUUUGGUUGUAAAGCACUUUAAGCGAGGAGGAGGCUACUUGGAUUAAUACUCUAGGAUAGUGGACGUUACUCGCAGAAUAAGCACCGGCUAACUCUGUGCCAGCAGCCGCGGUAAUACAGAGGGUGCGAGCGUUAAUCGGAUUUACUGGGCGUAAAGCGUGCGUAGGCGGCUUUUUAAGUCGGAUGUGAAAUCCCUGAGCUUAACUUAGGAAUUGCAUUCGAUACUGGGAAGCUUGAGUAUGGGAGAGGAUGGUAGAAUUCCAGGUGUAGCGGUGAAAUGCGUAGAGAUCUGGAGGAAUACCGAUGGCGAAGGCAGCCAUCUGGCCUAAUACUGACGCUGAGGUACGAAAGCAUGGGGAGCAAACAGG
This 430-nucleotide ribosomal RNA is filed under the name Acidobacteriota bacterium. RNAcentral describes it as "Acidobacteria bacterium partial 16S ribosomal RNA". It matches the Rfam family "Bacterial small subunit ribosomal RNA", at positions 355 to 776 of the family's 1533-position model. Lineage: Bacteria; Pseudomonadati; Acidobacteriota. The record is from RNAcentral.